GCUGAUGUAGCUCAGUGGUAGAGCACUUUCCUGGCAUGUACAAGGCCCUGGGGUCAAUCAUCAGCAUCACA
RNAcentral lists this transfer RNA (71 nucleotides) under Marmota monax (woodchuck). Its description in RNAcentral is "tRNA.Ala". It matches the Rfam family "tRNA". Rfam says of the family: Transfer RNA (tRNA) molecules are approximately 80 nucleotides in length. Their secondary structure includes four short double-helical elements and three loops (D, anti-codon, and T loops). Lineage: Eukaryota; Metazoa; Chordata; Mammalia; Rodentia; Sciuridae. The record is from RNAcentral.